AAAAAAGGCGAGACUGAGGCACAGAAUAAUAAUAAUGGUUUAUCUGCUGCCAAUAUAAGCAAAAAGAUGAAAUUAAAGUUUACCAAGGCAUGGAUUUCAUUUCUUAGGUUACCACUUCCAGUUGAUAUAUACAAAGAGGUUCUAAUUUCUCUCCAUCAGGCAGUCAUUCCUUAUAUCUCUAAUCCGAUCAUGUUAUGCGACUUCUUAACAAGAUCAUAUGAUAUUGGUGGAGUUGUCAGUGUAAUGGCCCUUAGCAGCCUCUUCAUCCUCAUGACUCAGCAUGGCUUAGAGUAUCCCAACUUCUAUGAAAAACUAUAUGCGCUAUUGUUACCUUCUGUAUUUAUGGCGAAACAUAGGGCAAAAUUUUUUCAGCUUCUUGACACUUGCCUAAAGUCAACACUUCUUCCAGCAUAUUUGGCUGCGGCUUUUACUAAGAAAUUGAGCAGACUGUCACUUUCAGUUCCUCCUUCUGGAGCAGUGGUUAUUAUUGCAUUGAUUCACAAUCUCCUUCGGAGACAUCCGUCAAUCAACUGUUUGGUGCACCGGGAAAAUGAUAAUGAAAAUGCAGCCGAUAAUUCAGAUGUAAAAGGGGAGAAUGCUCGCAAUGCAAAUGAUUCCAGAACAGGGAGUGGUACUUCUGCUGAAAAUCUUUGUGUUGAUCAUUUUAACAACGAGGAAAGCAACCCUGCAAAGUCUAAUGCAUUGAAAAGUUCUUUAUGGGAAAUCGAUACCCUUCGCCACCACUACUGCCCACCU
Molecule: unclassified non-coding RNA, 756 nt
Filed under: Hevea brasiliensis (rubber tree)
Lineage: Eukaryota; Viridiplantae; Streptophyta; Magnoliopsida; Malpighiales; Euphorbiaceae
Source: RNAcentral